GUGCUAAACAGUUGUGUGAAAACAGGAUUAAUAAAGACUUAAAAUAAAAGAGAUCAAGGAUAUGGAGUGCAAAAAUAAUAAAUGAAAUAAAGAUGCAAUUGAUCAAUGGCAAAAGAGCAUAGAGAUGAACGGAGGUUGAUUUAUAUGAGAUGGAUAUGUUGUUGGGGUUAAAUUUCACCAAGUUCGCUCUCAUGUGUAUAAGAAUUCUUCUUUAUGCAUUAAUGCUAAUGUCCCUCACUAAAUAACUUAAACCCGAUCCCUCGGUAAAUAAGCCUGUCCCUAAUUAGCAGUUCAUACAAUUUCUAGCAUUC
Molecule: long non-coding RNA, 311 nt
Filed under: Vigna radiata
Lineage: Eukaryota; Viridiplantae; Streptophyta; Magnoliopsida; Fabales; Fabaceae
Description: long non-coding RNA (VRAD_LNC017114)
Source: RNAcentral